AGAGAUCAAAAGAUACAAUGGUGGAGGGGUCGGAAAGCAAGCGAGAAAGUCCAAUAACUUCGAAAAAUAGGGGGAGGAAUGAAUCUUCAAAAUAAGAUGCCACUGUAAAGAAGAAAUAGAGGACAAAAAGCUUGGUUUCAAAAAGGCAAGUUUACAGAAGAAAACAUGAAUAAAAGAAAUAAGAAGAGAUUGAAGAAAAGGAAAAUACUGAAAGUGAAGAAGAGGAACAAGGAGAAGAAGAUGAACAUGAAGAAGAAGAUAAACAAGGAGAAGAAGAUAACAAUGGAGAAGGGGGAGGGGGAGACAGCGGUAGAUGAAGAUUCCAGUUUAUGGACGAGUGAACAAAAUGAAGA
Molecule: long non-coding RNA, 353 nt
Organism: Cucumis melo (muskmelon)
Lineage: Eukaryota; Viridiplantae; Streptophyta; Magnoliopsida; Cucurbitales; Cucurbitaceae
Exons: 3
Source: RefSeq, a predicted model, not a curated record